AGUGAACGCUGGCGGUAGGCCUAACACAUGCAAGUCGAACGGCAGCACAGAGGAGCUUGCUCCUUGGGUGGCGAGUGGCGGACGGGUGAGGAAUACAUCGGAAUCUACUCUGUCGUGGGGGAUAACGUAGGGAAACUUACGCUAAUACCGCAUACGACCUACGGGUGAAAGCAGGGGAUCUUCGGACCUUGCGCGAUUGAAUGAGCCGAUGUCGGAUUAGCUAGUUGGCGGGGUAAAGGCCCACCAAGGCGACGAUCCGUAGCUGGUCUGAGAGAAUGAUCAGCCACACUGGAACUGAGACACGGUCCAGCCUCCUACGGGAGGCAGCAGUGGGGAAUAUUGGACAAUGGGCGCAAGCCUGAUCCAGCCAUACCGCGUGGGUGAAGAAGGCCUUCGGGUUGUAAAGCCCUUUUGUUGGGAAAGAAAUCCAUCUGGUUAAUACCCGGGUGGGAUGACGGUACCCAAAGAAUAAGCACCGGCUAACUUCGUGCCAGCCGCCGCGGUAA
RNAcentral lists this ribosomal RNA (506 nucleotides) under uncultured bacterium. RNAcentral's name for it is "partial 16S ribosomal RNA". It matches the Rfam family "Bacterial small subunit ribosomal RNA", at positions 29 to 523 of the family's 1533-position model. The record is from RNAcentral.